Molecule: long non-coding RNA, 729 nt
Filed under: Equus caballus (horse)
Lineage: Eukaryota; Metazoa; Chordata; Mammalia; Perissodactyla; Equidae
Description: lncRNA (ENSECAG00000060013.1)
Source: RNAcentral
CUGACUCAUGAAAAGGGGUGAUCUUGACAGGAAUACGAUGACCUACCCUCCCAAAACAUCUUUAAUAAGAAAAAUGUGUGCUUGACGUCCAGGGAGAGAACGGAGCAUUAGAACAGGAGUUAUAAAUUCAAGCAAAUCUGCUAACUCUUUUCCUCCUUGCACCAACGGAGACAUCUUAACUACAAUAAUUUUGGAAGCCCCCUAAGCUACAGAGACACAUGAAGUGAAACUGGCAGGAGCUCUCAACACAGCCUUGCAUUCUACAAUGAUUCUAGCAAUGGAUAAUAGUGUAGGCAGUUUCCAAUGCAGGUCAUAUAAGAAUCACAUUCUUUGAAGAAACGUUCCACAGGGGAAGAAACCAGAGAAGGUGGUGAAAUAGACAUCAGAAUAAUACAUCCCCCCACGUGCAAUAAAAUCCACAAAUACAACACCACGCCUCUGAUCUCCCAUUCUAUCCCCAGAGGUUUGCUCAAGCCAGGCACACGGAGCCAACUGCCUCAUAUGUGUCCAGCCCUUGACCCCAUGGAGAGAAGACCUUCUACUUCCAGAGCCUUCUCUUACUCCUCUACUCCAGCUUUCCACUGCAACUUUCCACAUUGUGUCUCUGACAAUGACCACCAUGACUGUCCCUUUCCCCUUGGUUACACUUAAUUUUUACAUACGCCUUACCAAUCAGUUCAUACUCUUCAACAAUGUAACUGCUGGACCUACUACCCUGACUCAAUACAC